Molecule: ribosomal RNA, 508 nt
Filed under: uncultured Burkholderiales bacterium
Lineage: Bacteria; Pseudomonadati; Pseudomonadota; Betaproteobacteria; Burkholderiales
Description: bacterial SSU rRNA
Rfam family: Bacterial small subunit ribosomal RNA
Source: RNAcentral
AGGCUUUGAUCCUGGCUCAGAUUGAACGCUGGCGGCAUGCCUUACACAUGCAAGUCGAACGGCAGCACGGGAGCUUGCUCCUGGUGGCGAGUGGCGAACGGGUGAGUAAUACAUCGGAACGUGCCCAGUAGUGGGGGAUAGCUCGGCGAAAGCCGGAUUAAUACCGCAUACGACCUAUGGGUGAAAGCGGGGGACCGUAAGGCCUCGCGCUAUUGGAGCGGCCGAUGUCUGAUUAGCUAGUUGGCGGGGUAAAAGCCCACCAAGGCGACGAUCAGUAGCUGGUCUGAGAGGACGAUCAGCCACACUGGAACUGAGACACGGUCCAGACUCCUACGGGAGGCAGCAGUGGGGAAUUUUGGACAAUGGGCGAAAGCCUGAUCCAGCAAUGCCGCGUGUGCGAAGAAGGCCUUCGGGUUGUAAAGCACUUUUGUCAGGGAAGAAAUCUUUCGGGCUAAUACCCCUGGAAGGAUGACGGUACGCUAAGAAUAGCACCGGGGUACAUCCGAUC